RNAcentral lists this ribosomal RNA (254 nucleotides) under uncultured bacterium. RNAcentral describes it as "partial 16S ribosomal RNA". It matches the Rfam family "Bacterial small subunit ribosomal RNA", at positions 524 to 776 of the family's 1533-position model. The record is from RNAcentral.
CACGUAGGGCGCGAGCGUUGUCCGGAAUUAUUGGGCGUAAAGAGCUCGUAGGCGGUGUGUCGCGUCGGCCGUGAAAACCUGCAGCUUAACUGUGGGCGUGCGGUCGAUACGGGCAUCACUGGAGUUCGGCAGGGGAGACUGGAAUUCCUGGUGUAGCGGUGAAAUGCGCAGAUAUCAGGAGGAACACCGGUGGCGAAGGCGGGUCUCUGGGCCGAUACUGACGCUGAGGAGCGAAAGCGUGGGGAGCAAACAGG